Molecule: ribosomal RNA, 275 nt
Filed under: uncultured bacterium
Lineage: Bacteria
Description: partial 16S ribosomal RNA
Rfam family: Bacterial small subunit ribosomal RNA
Source: RNAcentral
CCUACGGGUGGCUGCAGUGGGGAAUAUUGGACAAUGGGCGCAAGCCUGAUCCAGCCAUGCCGCGUGAGUGAUGAAGGCCUUAGGGUUGUAAAGCUCUUUCGCCGAGGACGAUAAUGACGGUACUCGGAUAAGAAGCCCCGGCUAACUUCGUGCCAGCAGCCGCGGUAAUACGAAGGGGGCUAGCGUUGUUCGGAAUUACUGGGCGUAAAGCGUAUGCAGGCGGAUCUUUAAGUCAGGGGUGAAAUCCCGAGGCUCAACCUCGGAACUGCCUUUGA